Molecule: long non-coding RNA, 374 nt
Organism: Carassius auratus (goldfish)
Lineage: Eukaryota; Metazoa; Chordata; Actinopteri; Cypriniformes; Cyprinidae
Exons: 3
Source: RefSeq, a predicted model, not a curated record
AUAAGAGGAAACGACCUCUAAAACCAGGCUAACUCAGCUGGCAUUGUGUGCGUUUCCAACCGCUCGCGUUCAAAGUUUGGCGCUUUAGCUGGCUCACGUGACUCUGAGGAAAUCAUCAUCCUCUUCUUCUAUGUCGGGGGGGGGCAUCCAACGCUAAGACUGCAAUGCAGGAUUGCUAACUGUGUGUAGCCCCCCAUAAGACUGCUGAGCGCACCCACCCACAUACUGCAGAGAAGAUGAGGAUGAAGGGUUUUGUUUCCUCAGCAUCUCCUGAGAGAUCUCACACACAAUGUUUCCAUGGAGAUGACACUUUAUAUAUGUGUGUGUUUUUCUUUUUUUGAGCAUGUAGGAAUAAAAGACACAAUCACACUUGU